RNAcentral lists this ribosomal RNA (405 nucleotides) under uncultured bacterium. RNAcentral describes it as "bacterial SSU rRNA". It matches the Rfam family "Bacterial small subunit ribosomal RNA", at positions 29 to 417 of the family's 1533-position model. The record is from RNAcentral.
AACGAACGCUGGCGGCGUGCCUAACACAUGCAAGUCGUGCGAGAAAGUUCCUUCGGGAGCGAGUAAAGCGGCGCACGGGUGAGUAACACGUAGGUAACCUGCCCCCCAGUCUGGAACAACUAGAGGAAACUCUAGCUAAUGCCGGAUGAGACCACGAUCUCUUCGGGGGUUGCGGCCAAAGAUGGCCUCUACUUGUAAGCUAUCGCUGAGGGAUGGGCCUGCGGGCCAUUAGCUUGUUGGUGAGGUAACGGCUCACCAAGGCUGUGAUGGCUAGCUGGUCUGAGAGGAUGACCAGCCACACUGGGACUGAGACACGGCCCAGACUCCUACGGGAGGCAGCAGUGGGGAAUAUUGCGCAAUGGGCGAAAGCCUGACGCAGCGACGCCGCGUGGGUGAUGAAGGCCU